CUCAGUUCGGAUCGAAGUCUGCAACCCGACUUCGUGAAGCUGGAUUCGCUAGUAAUCGCGCAUCAGCCAUGGCGCGGUGAAUACGUUCCCGGGCCUUGUACACACCGCCCGUCAAGCCAUGAAAGCCGGGGGUACCUGAAGUACGUAACCGCAAGGAGCGUCCUAGGGUAAAACUGGUAAUUGGGGCUAAGUCGUAACAAGGUAAC
Molecule: ribosomal RNA, 206 nt
Filed under: uncultured bacterium
Lineage: Bacteria
Description: partial 16S ribosomal RNA
Rfam family: Bacterial small subunit ribosomal RNA
Source: RNAcentral